AGAGUUUGAUCCUGGCUCAGAACGAACGCUGGCGGCGCGCCUAAUACAUGCAAGUCGAGCGAGAAGGUGUAGCAAUACACUUGUAAAGCGGCGAACGGGUGAGGAAUACAUGGGUAAUCUACCAUCGAGUGGGGAAUAACCAGCCGAAAGGUUGGCUAAUACCGCGUACGCCUCCGGAUCUUCGGGUUCGGAGGGAAAGCUGCACUGUGAGUGUAGCGCUCUUUGAUGAGCUCAUGUCCUAUCAGCUUGUUGGUAGGGUAACGGCCUACCAAGGCUUUGACGGGUAGCUGGUCUGAGAGGACGAUCAGCCACACUGGCACUGCGACACGGGCCAGACUCCUACGGGAGGCAGCAGUAAGGAAUAUUGCGCAAUGGGCGAAAGCCUGACGCAGCGACGCCGCGUGGGGGAUGAAGGUCUUCGGAUUGUAAACCCCUUUCGGGAGGGAAGAUGGAACGAGCAAUCGUUCGGACGGUACCUCCAGAAGCAGCCACGGCCAACUUCGUGCCAGCAGCCGCGGUAAUACGAAGGUGGCAAGCGUUGUUCGGAUUCACUGGGCGUACAGGGUGUGUAGGCGGUUUGGUAAGCCUUCUGUUAAAGCUUCGGGC
RNAcentral lists this ribosomal RNA (606 nucleotides) under uncultured bacterium. RNAcentral's name for it is "bacterial SSU rRNA". It matches the Rfam family "Bacterial small subunit ribosomal RNA", at positions 8 to 608 of the family's 1533-position model. The record is from RNAcentral.